AUUGAACGCUGGCGGCAGGCCUAACACAUGCAAGUCGAGCGGAUGAAGGGAGCUUGCUCCUGGAUUCAGCGGCGGACGGGUGAGUAAUGCCUAGGAAUCUGCCUGGUAGUGGGGGAUAACGUCCUGAAACGGGCGCUAAUACCGCAUACGUCCUGAGGGAGAAAGUGGGGGAUCUUCGGACCUCACGCUAUCAGAUGAGCCUAGGUCGGAUUAGCUAGUUGGUGGGGUGAAGGCCUACCAAGGCGACGAUCCGUAACUGGUCUGAGAGGAUGAUCAGUCACACUGGAACUGAGACACGGUCCAGACUCCUACGGGAGGCAGCAGUGGGGAAUAUUGGACAAUGGGCGAAAGCAUGAUCCAGCCAUGCCGCGUGUGUGAAGAAGGUCUUCGGAUUGUAAAGCACUUUAAGUUGGGAGGAAGGGCAGUAAGUUAAUACCUUGCUGUUUUGACGUUACCAACAGAAUAAGCACCGGCUAACUUCGUG
RNAcentral lists this ribosomal RNA (484 nucleotides) under uncultured bacterium. RNAcentral describes it as "partial 16S ribosomal RNA". It matches the Rfam family "Bacterial small subunit ribosomal RNA", at positions 30 to 507 of the family's 1533-position model. The record is from RNAcentral.